Molecule: ribosomal RNA, 489 nt
Filed under: uncultured bacterium
Lineage: Bacteria
Description: bacterial SSU rRNA
Rfam family: Bacterial small subunit ribosomal RNA
Source: RNAcentral
CGCUGGCGGCGUGCUUAACACAUGCAAGUCGAACGAAGCACCUCUCCCGAAGAUUGACACAGCUUGCUGUAGAUUGAUUCAUUUGAGGUGACUGAGUGGCGGACGGGUGAGUAACGCGUGGGUAACCUGCCUCAUAGAGGGGGACAACAGUUGGAAACGACUGCUAAUACCGCAUAGUAAGAAAGAUUCGCAUGUUUCUUUCUUGAAAGAUUUAUCGCUAUGAGAUGGGCCCGCGUCUGAUUAGCUAGUUGGUAAGGUAACGGCUUACCAAGGCGACGAUCAGUAGCCGGCUUGAGAGAGUGAACGGCCACAUUGGGACUGAGACACGGCCCAAACUCCUACGGGAGGCAGCAGUGGGGAAUAUUGCACAAUGGGGGAAACCCUGAUGCAGCGACGCCGCGUGAGUGAAGAAGUAUUUCGGUAUGUAAAGCUCUAUCAGCAGGGAAGAUAAUGACGGUACCUGACUAAGAAGCCCCGACUAACUACGUG